AGUUCUUUCUCUCUGUUCUCUCUCUUCUACCUACCUUCUCCUAUCAUAAACUUAAAGCAAGAAUCCUUCACAAAUCAAAGAUCAUUCCACUUAUUCUGCAGUAUACGACGCCGUUGACAUUUUCGG
Molecule: long non-coding RNA, 126 nt
Organism: Helianthus annuus (common sunflower)
Lineage: Eukaryota; Viridiplantae; Streptophyta; Magnoliopsida; Asterales; Asteraceae
Exons: 3
Source: RefSeq, a predicted model, not a curated record